This 518-nucleotide ribosomal RNA is filed under the name uncultured Glomeromycotina. RNAcentral's name for it is "bacterial SSU rRNA". It matches the Rfam family "Eukaryotic small subunit ribosomal RNA", at positions 591 to 1097 of the family's 1831-position model. Lineage: Eukaryota; Fungi; Glomeromycota. The record is from RNAcentral.
CCAAUAGCGUAUAUUAAAGUUGUUGCAGUUAAAAAGCUCGUAGUUGAAUUUCGGGGCGGGGGUGGCGGUCGCCUCUCACGGGGUCGAACUGCCAUCAAUUAACCUCGUCCUCUACCUUCUGGCGAGCCGGCAUGUUCUUAAUUGAGUGUGACGGGGAACCAGGACUGUUACUUUGAAAAAUUAGAGUGUUUAAAGCAAGCUCAUCCGCUUGAAUACAUUAGCAUGGAAUAACGAAAUAGGACGGAUUUGGAUCUAUUUUGUUGGUUUCUAGGACCACCGUAAUGAUUAAUAGGGAUAGUUGGGGGCAUUAGUAUUCAAUUGUCAGAGGUGAAAUUCUUGGAUUUAUUGAAGACUAACUUCUGCGAAAGCAUUUGCCAAGGAUGUUUUCAUUAACCAAGAACGAAAGUUAGGGGAUCGAAGACGAUCAGAUACCGUCGUAGUCUUAACCAUAAACUAUGCCGACUAGGGAUCGGGCGAUGUUACAUAACAAUAUGACUCGUUCGGCGCCUUACGGGAAA